GUGGUAUUCCAGGGGCACUCCCCAGCACACCACCUCCUGCCUGCAAAUCUCUGCCUCAGACUCUGUUUCCUGGGUAACCUGACCUAAGAAAAUUGAUCAUACGCAGAACCCUACUAUAGCUGACUCCUUUGAAGAACUGUGAAAGAUGCGGGGGCGAGAAAAUAAAAAUCACAGGGUUGGCCUCAACAGUUGUAAUUGUCCUACACCACCUUCUCCUGGAAAUUGCUGCACCAUCGAUCCCAGCCUGGGUCAACAUCUCUAUCCUAUUGACUUGUAACAAAGAGACUGAUAAUGUAGUUUUCUACUACAAACAUGAAAUUGAGAGCUCUGGCAUGGAUGCGUGCAUGGAGAAACAGUUGUGUUGUUCAUGUAAGAGACGAAUGCAACAGACAAGAAACCAUAUUAUCCACAGGUAUGGAUUUAUUCCCACAUGAUGGACUGCAAUAAACAAAUGAACAAGAAAGAAAGAUGGACCAAAUAACUUAGAGCAGUGGUUCAUAAAGUGUGGUCCAUGAAACAGCAGUGUCAGCAUGUGGAAAUUUAUUAGAAAUGCAGUCUCUUUUCACCUCACUAGACCUUGUGCACCAAAAUUAUUUCCCUUCUUAAGUAUUUAAAAACAAAAAUUGUGACAUGGUCUCAUAAUAGAGUUUGCAUAAAAGAAAUCAGGAUACUUCCUGAAACUUUGGCACCCCUUUACCAAAUGUAUUUAGCCACUGCAGUAAAAUUUCAUCUUUUCCCUAAAAACUACUUUGAAUAAUACAUCAUUUAUUUAUUAUUAUUAUUAUACAGUUAUGCAUCCCUUAACAAUGGGGAAAUGUUCUGAUUAAUGCAUUGUUAGGCAAAUCUGUCAUUGUGCAAACAUCACAGAGUAUAACUCAGACAAACCUAGAUGAGACAGCCUACUACACACCUAGGCUAUAUAUGGUGUAACUUACUGCUUUUAGGCUACAAAUCUGUACAGUAUGUCACUGUACUGAAUACUGCAUUGAAUACUGAAUCAUAACACAAAGAUUAGUAUUUGUGUUUCUAAACAUAGUAAAGUUACAGUAAAAGUAUGGUCUCACAAUCUUGUGACUACUGUCAUAUAUGCAGUCUGUUGUUGAUCAAAAUCUUAUGUGACACAUACCGUAGCUGAAUUUCAAUGAAAGCAAGUAUUAGGAUACAAGACUGGAAGCAUAGCUUGAAACACAAUCUUCCAGGCUUUUGAAUGACAGGCCUGAAAGUAUGAUCUUUAUUUCACAGGGCAGUUAAAAACCUUUGUUGAGUUUUGAUCACCCAGUAAAAACAUGGUAUUAUAAUCUUACGGAACCAUCAUUGUAUAUGCAGUCCAUCAUUGACUGAAACAUCAUUUUGCAGUGCCUGACUG
This 1366-nucleotide long non-coding RNA is filed under the name Macaca mulatta (Rhesus monkey). RNAcentral's name for it is "lncRNA (ENSMMUG00000042181.2)". The record is from RNAcentral. Lineage: Eukaryota; Metazoa; Chordata; Mammalia; Primates; Cercopithecidae.